This 263-nucleotide long non-coding RNA is filed under the name Gossypium raimondii (Peruvian cotton). Its description in RNAcentral is "long non-coding RNA (GRAI_LNC003104)". The record is from RNAcentral. Lineage: Eukaryota; Viridiplantae; Streptophyta; Magnoliopsida; Malvales; Malvaceae.
AGGAGAUUUUUAGUUUUUUUUUAGCUUUUUCUUUUCUUUUCUGAUUAGGGUAAUAGGAUUAAUGUUGGGUUAAGUGGGGAGAUGUGAAACGACGCCGUAUUGCCUGAUUCAGUGGCUCUUAAAAGGCGCCGUUUUAGGUCGCGACCGGAUGAUCCGACCCAGAUGCGGUAAGAUCCGCGUGUUCUGGAGUAGGGAGGGGUAAUUCCGCGCCGAGUCCUUCUUAUUUUGCGCGGUAUUUCAAUUCGAUACCCUUUUUAUUUUUA